CUAAUUAUCAUACUUAUGAGAGUAAAAUUAGUGUUUUAUUAUUCUCUGCCUUAAUCUAUUUUCUGUUGCUAUAACAGAGCACCACAGGAAAUUUACUUUUCACUGUUUUGCAGCCUGUGAAGUUCAAGAGCCUGGUACUGGCAUCUGGUGAAGUCUUCUGUCUGUGUCACAUUAUGAGAGGAGGCAUCACAUGGAACUAAGUGUGCUGGACCCUUGAGCCACCAGCCUGGAGUUGGGGAAGCACCUGCUGUAUACCUUCCCUGGAGAGUGGGACAGCAUGAAACCUCUUUCCCCAGGAGGACAGGACUGGCGUGUGCCCCAAUGUCUUCCUAACCAGACUCGGUGGAGAAAUUGACAAGUUCCCUGUCAGGGCUUCUAGACAAGGUCCAUUUGAACCCACUGCUUAUAUCACAUCUGCUAACUUCUUAUUGGCCAAAGUGAGUCACACAGCUGGGCCUACUGUCCAAGGAGGGGCAGUGCAACCCAAUCAUAUGGGUUCUGCAAAAUUACAUGGCAAAGGAUGUGGUUAUCAAGAAAGGUAAGAAUUAGAGCCAUCUUUGCAAACCAUCUCAGAUAUCCUAAUUAAGUCCUAUUCCUCCAGUCAGAGUUCAUUUCCUUUGUUCAUAAACAAUGAAAUUGGAUGAUACAGUUUUCUUUUAUACUUAGGUACUGAGACCACGAGUCUGCAAGCUGAAGAUCUCAUAGGAGCUGCAACCGUGUCCCUCAGGUAGUUACCUUCUCCUUAGAGUUUAGGGGAGGCAGUUCAGCAAAGUGUGUUGAAUGGAGUAGUGU
This 792-nucleotide long non-coding RNA is filed under the name Chinchilla lanigera (long-tailed chinchilla). RNAcentral's name for it is "lncRNA (ENSCLAG00000023190.1)". The record is from RNAcentral. Lineage: Eukaryota; Metazoa; Chordata; Mammalia; Rodentia; Chinchillidae.